RNAcentral lists this ribosomal RNA (253 nucleotides) under uncultured prokaryote. RNAcentral's name for it is "partial 16S ribosomal RNA". It matches the Rfam family "Bacterial small subunit ribosomal RNA", at positions 524 to 776 of the family's 1533-position model. The record is from RNAcentral.
UACGUAGGGGGCAAGCGUUAUCCGGAUUUACUGGGUGUAAAGGGAGCGUAGGUGGUACGGCAAGUCAGGUGUGAAAGCCCGGGGCUCAACCCCGGGACUGCACUUGAAACUGCCGGACUGGAGUGCAGGAGAGGUAAGUGGAAUUCCUAGUGUAGCGGUGAAAUGCGUAGAUAUUAGGAGGAACACCAGUGGCGAAGGCGGCUUACUGGACUGUAACUGACACUGAGGCUCGAAAGCGUGGGGAGCAAACAGG